UGGGAGGUGGGGAGCAGAGACUGGGAAAGGAGGGAUCGAAACGUUAGGCUCGGGAGCUGACGAAUUAAAGAAAAAUGUGAAGGAAAAGCCACUGUGCGCUGCCCCUUUCCCGUCGUCCAGGCUUUGGGCGUUCGCAGCCCCCUUUCAAGCCCUGUGCUGCCGAACACCGACGCCAGCGAGUUGAGUGUGGUUUGGCUUAAUUUUGUCUUCCUGCGCAUCUUUAUUUAUGCAAUACCGCCGCCUCAUGGGUAGGGCUGGGAACGGCGUCAAGGAUGGAAGUACUCAUACGAACAAGUCCGCAGGGACCAAAUCAAGAGAGGACACAAGGUGUGACUACAUCUUAUAGAACAAGAGAUGAGAAGUCGAAGUAGCCAAAUUUCAGAAUGCUGUGAAUGUUAAAUUGCACCACAAGGAUUUGUUCAGCAAAAUUCAGCGGCUGGAAACGCUACUGGACAAACAACUGAGUUCCGUUAGUAAAUUACAAGGAAAGAAAGAGAUGGAGAGGAAACCUAUACACUGAAAAAGACUUAGAAGACAUAUCAGCCAAUCACAAU
Molecule: long non-coding RNA, 554 nt
Organism: Balaenoptera acutorostrata (minke whale)
Lineage: Eukaryota; Metazoa; Chordata; Mammalia; Artiodactyla; Balaenopteridae
Exons: 3
Source: RefSeq, a predicted model, not a curated record